This 433-nucleotide ribosomal RNA is filed under the name uncultured bacterium. RNAcentral's name for it is "partial 16S ribosomal RNA". It matches the Rfam family "Bacterial small subunit ribosomal RNA", at positions 36 to 507 of the family's 1533-position model. The record is from RNAcentral.
ACCUCCCUCUUUCUUCAUGCCUAACACAUGCAAGUCGAACGAGACCUUCGGGUCUAGUGGCGCACGGGUGCGUAACGCGUGGGAACCUGCCCUUAGGUUCGGAAUAACUCCCCGAAAGGGGUGCUAAUACCGGAUAAUGUCUUCGGACCAAAGAUUUAUCGCCUUUGGAUGGGCCCGCGUUGGAUUAGCUAGUUGGUAGGGUAAAAGCCUACCAAGGCGACGAUCCAUAGCUGGUCUGAGAGGAUGAUCAGCCACACUGGGACUGAGACACGGCCCAGACUCCUACGGGAGGCAGCAGUGGGGAAUAUUGGACAAUGGGCGAAAGCCUGAUCCAGCAAUGCCGCGUGAGUGAUGAGGGCCUUAGGGUUGUAAAGCUCUUUUACCCGGGAUGAUAAUGACAGUACCGGGAGAAUAAGCUCCGGCUAACUCCGUG